Molecule: ribosomal RNA, 279 nt
Filed under: uncultured bacterium
Lineage: Bacteria
Description: partial 16S ribosomal RNA
Rfam family: Bacterial small subunit ribosomal RNA
Source: RNAcentral
UGCCAGCCGCCGCGGUAAGACGGAGGUGGCAAACACUGUUCGGAAUCACUGGGCUUAAAGGGCGUGUAGGCGGCAGAUCAAGUCGGAUGUGAAAUCCCUCGGCUUAACCGAGGAACAGCACCCGAUACUGGUCAGCUAGAGUGCGAGAGGGGUGAGUGGAACUCCAGGUGUAGCGGUGAAAUGCGUAGAUAUCUGGAGGAACAUCAGUGGCGAAGGCGGCUCCCUGGCCAAAGACUGACGCUCAUGUGCGAAAGUGUGGGUAGCGAACAGGAUUAGAUA